This 1115-nucleotide ribosomal RNA is filed under the name fungal sp. ARIZ AZ0926. Its description in RNAcentral is "eukaryotic LSU rRNA". The stretch from base 521 to 1115 matches the Rfam family "Eukaryotic large subunit ribosomal RNA", at positions 1 to 599 of the family's 3401-position model. Lineage: Eukaryota; Fungi. The record is from RNAcentral.
GAUCAUUACCGAGUGCGGGUCCUUUGGGCCCAACCUCCCAUCCGUGUCUAUUGUACCCUGUUGCUUCGGCGGGCCCGCCGCUUGUCGGCCGCCGGGGGGGCGCCUCUGCCCCCCGGGCCCGUGCCCGCCGGAGACCCCAACACGAACACUGUCUGAAAGCGUGCAGUCUGAGUUGAUUGAAUGCAAUCAGUUAAAACUUUCAACAAUGGAUCUCUUGGUUCCGGCAUCGAUGAAGAACGCAGCGAAAUGCGAUAACUAAUGUGAAUUGCAGAAUUCAGUGAAUCAUCGAGUCUUUGAACGCACAUUGCGCCCCCUGGUAUUCCGGGGGGCAUGCCUGUCCGAGCGUCAUUGCUGCCCUCAAGCCCGGCUUGUGUGUUGGGUCGCCGUCCCCCUCUCCGGGGGGACGGGCCCGAAAGGCAGCGGCGGCACCGCGUCCGAUCCUCGAGCGUAUGGGGCUUUGUCACAUGCUCUGUAGGAUUGGCCGGCGCCUGCCGACGUUUUCCAACCAUUCUUUCCAGGUUGACCUCGGAUCAGGUAGGGAUACCCGCUGAACUUAAGCAUAUCAAUAAGCGGAGGAAAAGAAACCAACCGGGAUUGCCUCAGUAACGGCGAGUGAAGCGGCAAGAGCUCAAAUUUGAAAGCUGGCUCCUUCGGAGUCCGCAUUGUAAUUUGCAGAGGAUGCUUUGGGUGCGGCCCCCGUCUAAGUGCCCUGGAACGGGCCGUCAGAGAGGGUGAGAAUCCCGUCUUGGGCGGGGUGUCCGUGCCCGUGUAAAGCUCCUUCGACGAGUCGAGUUGUUUGGGAAUGCAGCUCUAAAUGGGUGGUAAAUUUCAUCUAAAGCUAAAUACUGGCCGGAGACCGAUAGCGCACAAGUAGAGUGAUCGAAAGAUGAAAAGCACUUUGAAAAGAGAGUUAAACAGCACGUGAAAUUGUUGAAAGGGAAGCGCUUGCGACCAGACUCGCCCGCGGGGUUCAGCCGGCAUUCGUGCCGGUGUACUUCCCCGUGGGCGGGCCAGCGUCGGUUUGGGCGGCCGGUCAAAGGCCCCUGGAAUGUAGUGCCCUCCGGGGCACCUUAUAGCCAGGGGUGCAAUGCGGCCAGCCUGGACCGAGGAACGCG